UCUUUGAUUGGCGGCUCUAACGACAUCGUAGCGAUCAAAGGGUUGUAGCGUUACUAGAGGGAAGAUGCUGAAAUAGCGCAAUACAGGUGGCGAAGCUAGUGCCUGUGCAUCGAACGACUGGCGGGU
Molecule: non-coding RNA, 126 nt
Filed under: unclassified sequences
Description: Betaproteobacteria-1 RNA
Rfam family: Betaproteobacteria-1 RNA
Source: Rfam by way of RNAcentral